CAGAGCACGUCACAAAUGGGACUGCCUUGUCCCCAGAACCGUAACUGCGGAGGUUCCCACCUUCUAUUUUCCCACCCUACCUCCCUGCCCCACUUCUGCGCCCUGGGUUCUGAAUUACCAGUCAGAUUCCCUCACUUCGCUGCUCGGAUCCCUUCAGCAUCCUUCCAUCUCACUAGGAAUAAAAUACAGAAUCUCGACCACACUUCGCAAGCCCUCGUCUGCUGUAUCCUUCCAGGCACACACUGGCUUCGUGGCAUCUCGGCUCUUCUCUCGUCUCCUGAAUCCUCUCCCUGUCACCUGUGGACCUGGCCGGGGCAGUUCCCUCGGGGGCCGUUUACCUGGGCUGUUUCUGCGCUCACGUACCCACAGGCCAAAGACAGAGUCUCAGGGCCCGGGACCCUCACCAUGUGGUUCGCUUUGGACAGAAAGAAAGGUGAAGCCACUAUGCACUGUGCUUUCCUUGACACACAAGCUGUGGGCAGAAAACAAAAUGGGUGUGAGUCGUAUUUAAUUAAGAAUGCAAACCCUGCAAUCUGACUGCCCAGCUUCCUACGCUGUCUUUGCCAUUUACCAGCUGUGCAACAGUGAGCUGCUUCAGUUUCCUCAGCUGCAGAGCAGGAGUAACAGUGCAGCUUCCAGAAGAGCAAAGGGAGAAUCAAAUGAGUUGAUCUGAAAACAUUCAGAACAGUGUCCCUUAUACGUGGAAGGGACACUUUCAUCUCACGUUCAGUAGGAAAGAAACAGCCACUAUUCAGACAGCAAAUAAAAAUCAUCCGAUC
RNAcentral lists this long non-coding RNA (779 nucleotides) under Heterocephalus glaber (naked mole-rat). Its description in RNAcentral is "lncRNA (ENSHGLG00100046950.1)". The record is from RNAcentral. Lineage: Eukaryota; Metazoa; Chordata; Mammalia; Rodentia; Bathyergidae.